UGUAAUUUAGUAUAAGAGGUACACAAGUUUUUGAUACUUGAAGAAAUGGUUUAAUUCUAUUAAUUGCAA
This 69-nucleotide transfer RNA is filed under the name Miridiba trichophora. Its description in RNAcentral is "tRNA-Gln". It matches the Rfam family "tRNA". From Rfam's summary of the family: Transfer RNA (tRNA) molecules are approximately 80 nucleotides in length. The record is from RNAcentral. Lineage: Eukaryota; Metazoa; Arthropoda; Insecta; Coleoptera; Scarabaeidae.